Molecule: long non-coding RNA, 1643 nt
Organism: Monomorium pharaonis (pharaoh ant)
Lineage: Eukaryota; Metazoa; Arthropoda; Insecta; Hymenoptera; Formicidae
Exons: 7
Source: RefSeq, a predicted model, not a curated record
CAUUUAUCAUUAUCAAUCGGUGUAUCUCAAUGAGACGUGUCGAACGACUCUCGGAUACCGAUGUAUUGUUUCGCUAAAACAAGAAACCCGCUUGUUGCAAUCAUGUGUGCGAGAUAAAUUCCAAUUAUUACACCUACCGACUUUGCCGACAGUAGUUCCCUAUCACCUGCAGCUACUUCAGUAUCGUCGGUAACGUCGCGCGUACCUAACCUCAGUUUAGUCGACGGUAGGGAGAGUUACUGGUCGUUUGUUUUGAUUCGUACGCGACGCCGUGUAUUUAUUUUGAUCACGUUUAAACCGCAUGAGUGAUUUUAAAAUACGCGUCCGAAAAUCGUGACAACGUUACAACCGGUUGGAAUGCUCCACUGCUGUCGAUGUCGAACUCUCCGGCUUGAAAAACAAUGCGAACUAUUUUGACGAACGAAACCACUCUCACAUGUUUAGAGGAGGUUAUGGAUCGCAUAAAGGAGAGAAAUCGAGGCAAAAACGUGAAUUAUUGGACUACGAUGCAUCUUUAAAUCACGAUGAUAUUUUCACAAAACAUUUACACGCUGUGGAGAAAGUAUAAUAUUAGAUUACAGACUUUGUCCUUUGGUCCUUACAUGUGAAAUACCGACUUCCGGAUGCUGAUUCGAUAAAGGGUGGUACUGUGUGCAAGCAGCUGCGUUUUGAGAAAAUGCCUUCCAGGGGAGAUCUGUAUCACCCUAUAAACAUCGCUGCCCCGACGAGACGAGAUUUCGCUCUUGAAGCUCGUGGUACUCGAAGAAUUUCGUUCCCGGCUUUUGAGUCUCUCGCGCGCCUUUCCUCGCAUACCGUUGGCCGAUGCAGCCUCUAAAGAAGAGGAUUCAGGUCAACUGCAAACCCCGUCUACCGAGUCCGGAUUAGCAAAAGCUGUGGCACAGAAGCUAAUACCUCAAGUUCGGUCAAAGCUUCGCUAUUGACUUCAAGCAUACUGUUAACAUAGGAACCACUGCAUAGCAUCGAGAAAUCACGAGUUCUCACAGCUUAAGGCCCGAGGGUGCUUCUUGGCUGGGAGAGAGAGAGAGAGAGAGAGGGAGCGAGAGUCGUCGAAAAAAAAAAGUCAGGAUAAAUGGAUAAGAAGAGAACGGUAGGUAAAACGAAAAGAACGAGAGAAAGCGGCGCAGAAAGCAGCGCAGAAAGGACCGAAGACGGACGGCUCGCUCCUGAGUAAGAUUUACAAAGCUGAAGGGGAGAAAUAAAUGUUCGCCGCGCGACAAAUAGACCCGAAGCGGAGAUACUGUCACCCGGCGCAUUUUAAAAGGUACAUUAUACAGACAACCUAGAUUAUGUAUUACAACGUCGUUUUAAUAUAAUAAUACUCAACGCGGGGAAUUUCAACGUGGAAUUUUGAAUAUCUCGUUAAAUCUUAUUUUAUUAAAUAUUCUUUACGUAAAUAUAUACAAGCACAUACAGAUUGUAUACUUGAGAUGCAACGCUUUACCAUUAUCAAUAGAUAAGCUAGAUAAUCUAAUUAAUAAUCGUGUACAUCUAUAAUCUUGACCUUUUUUUGGAAAGAAGAAAAAAAUGAUUUAUCAAUAUCAACGGUUUGAACGCAAUUUCUUUGAAUAUGUAAUGAAAUCUGAAGUAUUAUAUGGUAAUAAAAAAAAAAAAAAAUAUUGAAA